ACCAUCUUUUUCUUGGGGUUGUGCUACUGUCCAAUGAACGACUAGUGAGGGCAGUCCAAAAAAAUAAAAUAAAAUAAAUAAAUAAAUGAAAAG
Molecule: non-coding RNA, 93 nt
Organism: Myotis brandtii (Brandt's bat)
Lineage: Eukaryota; Metazoa; Chordata; Mammalia; Chiroptera; Vespertilionidae
Source: Rfam